This 74-nucleotide transfer RNA is filed under the name Clostridiales bacterium. RNAcentral's name for it is "tRNA-Gln". It matches the Rfam family "tRNA". Rfam says of the family: Transfer RNA (tRNA) molecules are approximately 80 nucleotides in length. Their secondary structure includes four short double-helical elements and three loops (D, anti-codon, and T loops). The record is from RNAcentral. Lineage: Bacteria; Bacillati; Bacillota; Clostridia; Eubacteriales.
UGGGGCGUCGUUCAACGGUAGGACACGCGGCUCUGGACCGCGGAAUCCUGGUUCGAAUCCAGGCGCCCCAGCCA